UACGUAGGGUGCAAGCGUUAAUCGGAAUUACUGGGCGUAAAGCGUGCGCAGGCGGUUUUGUAAGUCUGACGUGAAAUCCCCGGGCUCAACCUGGGAAUUGCGUUGGAGACUGCAAGGCUAGAAUCUGGCAGAGGGGGGUAGAAUUCCACGUGUAGCAGUGAAAUGCGUAGAGAUGUGGAGGAACACCGAUGGCGAAGGCAGCCCCCUGGGUCAAGAUUGACGCUCAUGCACGAAAGCGUGGGGAGUAAACAGG
RNAcentral lists this ribosomal RNA (253 nucleotides) under uncultured bacterium. Its description in RNAcentral is "partial 16S ribosomal RNA". It matches the Rfam family "Bacterial small subunit ribosomal RNA", at positions 524 to 776 of the family's 1533-position model. The record is from RNAcentral.